AUAUACACUAAAAAAGAAUAUGCAAUUCAAUUAGAAUUCCAAUUGGCCAUCAGUAUAUGCAACAACUCACCUGUAAAUUGGAUCGACUGCACAUAUCCUAUAAAGGGCAUACAUGCAGUAAACAAAUACUACAGUGCACUGACUAAUAUCAACACAAACGCACUUAACUAAACUAGCGGCACUACUCGAUGUUUGGGACGCGGAGUCUUCUCAGCUACUUCUUCUUGUACCACUGGAUGAUAUACUGCAAAGAAAAACAAAAAAUAUUAAGUAUCAACACUUUUAUUUACAUUUGCAUAAUUAA
Molecule: long non-coding RNA, 304 nt
Organism: Drosophila mojavensis
Lineage: Eukaryota; Metazoa; Arthropoda; Insecta; Diptera; Drosophilidae
Exons: 2
Source: RefSeq, a predicted model, not a curated record